AAACUUCACACUGCAGGAAGCUGUGAUGAGGGAACUCCUAGUGCAUGCACUAUGUGUAUGUAGAUCCUACUCUUAACAAGUAGAGGGAAAGGGCUGGGAAAGACCGGUG
Molecule: ribosomal RNA, 109 nt
Filed under: uncultured euryarchaeote
Lineage: Archaea; Methanobacteriati; Methanobacteriota
Description: partial 16S ribosomal RNA
Source: RNAcentral